This 673-nucleotide long non-coding RNA is filed under the name Homo sapiens (human). RNAcentral's name for it is "HSALNT0364041". Lineage: Eukaryota; Metazoa; Chordata; Mammalia; Primates; Hominidae. The record is from RNAcentral.
AUACCACCUAUAUUAUCUCAGCCAAUCUGAACAACAAUGGCAAAGCAGGCUUUAUCAGGCCUGAGGUUCAGAGAGUUUAGGGAUUUACCCAAGGUUGCGGAGCAGUCAGCAGAAUUGAGAUUUGACCCUGAUCUAUCCAGCUGUGGAAAGAUUCUCUGCGACGGUACAUCCUCUGCGAUGGUGCGCCCUAGGCAGUAGAAACCACAGAAGAAAGCCAGAAAACCAGCCAGAUAGAUGGCUGCUGAAACAAUUCAAGAGAGACAUGAUGAUCUACUAUAAUGGCGGUGGAGAACAGAUAGAAGUUACUGUGAAGAUGAAAGGAGAUGAUGUGUGUAACACUCACAGACUGGGACCCAGGAUGUAUGCAUCAGAUUUUAGGGAAACAUUGGUCUUCUUUCUCACCAUGGUUCAAGGUCUUGGGAUGCCUCCAAGACACGCUGACAAAAAGUCCCAUGAUUUUGUAGCUUAGUGUGUUGUGCCACAAAAAAGCCUUCAAAAUUAUUAAAAUAAGUUUUCCCAUAACAAAAUAAGGGAUCUACAACUAAAUAGAAGUAUUAAUGAUUAUUUAAUACUUCAGAAAGAAUGAAAGAGAGGAGAGAUUUUCUAUACUUGGGGUCUAUGAAAUUCCCUUCUAUCCAUUAAAAAAAUAAAGAACUUUUAAAACAAGGUUGAA